GUCCAGACUCCUACGGGAGGCAGCAGCGGGGGAUAUUGCACAAUGGGGGGAACCCUGAUGCAGCGACGCCGCGUGAGUGAAGAAGUAUCUCGGUAUGUAAACCUCUUUCAGCAGGGAAGACAAAAGGACGGUACCUGCAGAAGAAGCCACGGCUAACUACGUGCCAGCAGCCGCGGUAAUACGUAGGUGGCAAGCGUUAUCCGGAAUUACUGGGUGUAAAGGGUGUGUAGGCGGGGCUGCAAGUCAGAUGUGAAAAUUAUGGGCUCAACCCAUAACCUGCGUCUGAAACUGUAGCUCUUGAGAGUGGGAGAGGUAAACGGAAUUCCCGGUGUAGCGGUGGAAUGCGUAGAUAUCGGGAGGAACACCAGUGGCGAAGGCGGUUUACUGGACCACAACUGACGCUGAGACACGAAAGCGUGGGGAGCAAACAGGAUUAGAUACCCCAGUAC
RNAcentral lists this ribosomal RNA (449 nucleotides) under uncultured bacterium. Its description in RNAcentral is "bacterial SSU rRNA". It matches the Rfam family "Bacterial small subunit ribosomal RNA", at positions 329 to 793 of the family's 1533-position model. The record is from RNAcentral.